This 73-nucleotide transfer RNA is filed under the name Vicugna pacos (alpaca). Its description in RNAcentral is "tRNA-Pro (AGG) (tRNA-Pro-AGG-9-1)". It matches the Rfam family "tRNA". From Rfam's summary of the family: Transfer RNA (tRNA) molecules are approximately 80 nucleotides in length. Their secondary structure includes four short double-helical elements and three loops (D, anti-codon, and T loops). The record is from RNAcentral. Lineage: Eukaryota; Metazoa; Chordata; Mammalia; Artiodactyla; Camelidae.
GGUGGGUAUAGCUCAGUGGUAGAGUGCAUGCUUAGGAUGCAUAAGGUCCUGGGUUUAAUCCCCAGUACCUCCA